RNAcentral lists this ribosomal RNA (433 nucleotides) under uncultured bacterium. RNAcentral describes it as "partial 16S ribosomal RNA". It matches the Rfam family "Bacterial small subunit ribosomal RNA", at positions 29 to 507 of the family's 1533-position model. The record is from RNAcentral.
AACGAACGCUGGCGGCAUGCCUAACACAUGCAAGUCGAACGAGACCUUCGGGUCUAGUGGCGCACGGGUGCGUAACGCGUGGGAACCUGCCCUUAGGUUCGGAAUAACUCCCCGAAAGGGGUGCUAAUACCGGAUAAUGUCUUCGGACCAAAGAUUUAUCGCCUUUGGAUGGGCCCGCGUUGGAUUAGCUAGUUGGUAGGGUAAAAGCCUACCAAGGCGACGAUCCAUAGCUGGUCUGAGAGGAUGAUCAGCCACACUGGGACUGAGACACGGCCCAGACUCCUACGGGAGGGAGCAGUGGGGAAUAUUGGACAAGGGGCGAAAGCCUGAUCCAGCAAUGCCGCGUGAGUAAUGAAGGCCUGAGGGUUGUAAAGCUCUUUUACCCGGGAUGAUAAUGACAGUACCGGGAGAAUAAGCACCGGCUAACUCCGUG